This 1127-nucleotide long non-coding RNA is filed under the name Mus musculus (house mouse). RNAcentral's name for it is "long non-coding RNA chr9:118203739-118204866". The record is from RNAcentral. Lineage: Eukaryota; Metazoa; Chordata; Mammalia; Rodentia; Muridae.
AUCCAUUCUUGAAUCAAGGUUUUACUAAUAGAAAGUGUGUUUCCCACUGUACAAAGAAUAAAGGGAAAUAAACUUAAGAAACCAAACUGAAUAGAUGAAAGAAUUCCUCUUUCCUUAAUUACAAUGUAUUUAUUUUGUGUGCACAUGUGCAGCCGUGGUGCUCAUGUGAAGAUCAGAGGAUGUCUUGUAGGAGUCGAUUCUCUCAUUCCACCUGUGGGUCCUGAGGAUCAAACUCAGACAUCAGUGUUCAUGAAAGCCACAUUAUACAAUAGGCCAUCCUGGCCACCCCAUGGCCAUUUAUGAUUUAAGUCCAAACUUUGGAAGUAGUGGAGGCAGGAGAGAAAGAAGGGGACGGGGACACACACACACACACACACACAAAGGCACACAUGCACACACACAAACAUGACUCUUUCCUUUUAAAAGAAAGACAGAAUCUUUCACAAAUCAUCUUAGCUUUCUUGUCUAUGUAUCCUUGGCUUGAAUUGGAUUCCAUGGCCAUUUUAGGCUACAAGAUAGGCUGGGAUAGGAAAGACCUGACUUUGUAUCCUCUAUAGCAUGAAGAGAGGGAGAGACAGAGACAGAUGGAGAGAGACAGAGAGAGAUGGAAAGACACAUAGAGACACACAGACAGAGACACAGAAAGACAAAGAGACAGAGAGAAGGGGGGCUGACAAAGUUGACCACAACCUUGCAAAGGUUCCCUACCAACUGUAUGAGUCUUGUGAGACGGAGCACCUCACAAGUCCGGCAAACAGACCCAUUACCUCAGAGACAGCAAGGGUAAAGAAGAGGACAAGGAUCCACACCAAGCCAGUGCUUCAAGACUCCGGGAAAUUGCCCAGGCUGGGUGGAGUUCAUUCUGUGUGUGCUCCACACUGCAAUACAGCUGAGGGUCCCUGGAAACACUUACCCUCGGUACAUACCUCCCAGGGCAUGCUGAGCCGCAUCACAGCACAGCACCCAGCCCUAGGCAGAAGAGGGGCACAGCAGGUCUGCCAGACUUUGUACCUCGGGCGCUGUACACUCCACAUAUUUAUUUCCAAGAAACUCAAGCGAGACAGAAAGGACAGGGGCCAGCUGAUGCCAUCGGAUGGCUCUGCUGCACACCUCAGAGAGAGAUACAU